RNAcentral lists this long non-coding RNA (874 nucleotides) under Equus asinus (donkey). RNAcentral describes it as "lncRNA (ENSEASG00005001052.2)". The record is from RNAcentral. Lineage: Eukaryota; Metazoa; Chordata; Mammalia; Perissodactyla; Equidae.
AGGGAGGCUGGUGGGGGGAGAUCCUGACCCCUUCUAUACUAAUGCGGCCCCUGGAGCCUUCACUUAGAAGACAUCUACCUUGCGACUUCCUUUCUGGCAAGUUAUUAGUUGGGGGUGGGGCAGCACCCCACACGGAGUCUGGGUAAUGUCCGCCAAGGCCCGCCUCGCUCCUCCCAGAGCCGGGCGAGCAGCGUUCCCAUAGCAACCGGCCCGCCCGGGCCCGCUCGAGUUACAAAGAAGACGCGGCCUCCCGCGGGGGCAGCGCCGGGCCGGCGCAGGCGGAGCUCCCAGACCCGGCGGACUCUAAGCCAGCUAGCCAGAUUUUCGUUGCGAGAGCGCUGGGGCCCAGGCCUAGCCUAGGAGGUCCCUGAGUCCCCCACCCGCCCCUUAAUUCUCUGUGAAUCCUGUUUGCAAAGAGGGCUCUUUGCCAACGCCUGUCCUUGGCAGCGUUAGACCAGGCUCGGAGGCAGCGCUGCCUCGUGUUGCCCAAAAGUGGGAGAGAAGACAAAGCACUGAGUGGCCUUCCUGCGCACGGCUGUCAGUUCCGGACCGCCCUCCGUCACUCCUGCAAGAGCCCCACCCUGUCCCUGAGAGAAGGAGCAGACGGCCCAAAGCAUGCCUCUAGUCGUAGCCCUAGAUGCUUUCACUUGAAGGGGGCUGUCGCCACAGCAUGGCAACUGACAGACGGAUGGUGUGGUUCCAAGACCGGGAAGCAAACCCAGGCCACUGAAGUGAUGCACAUGUUGCCUAUUCAAAAACAACUUUUGGAAAUCUAAAACAAAAACUCAGUUCUUUUUCAAAGAUGCUCACCAUUUCAUGUCAUGGAUCCCGUAUCCUAAUUUCACCUGUUUCAAUCAAAGUGUGAACUUAACCU